RNAcentral lists this ribosomal RNA (464 nucleotides) under uncultured bacterium. Its description in RNAcentral is "partial 16S ribosomal RNA". It matches the Rfam family "Bacterial small subunit ribosomal RNA", at positions 28 to 507 of the family's 1533-position model. The record is from RNAcentral.
GACGAACGCUGGCGGCGUGCUUAACACAUGCAAGUCGAACGGAAAGGCCCAGCUGGCUGUGUUCUCGAGUGGCGAACGUGUGAGUAACACGUGGGUGAUCUCCCCCUAACUUCGGGAUAAGCUUGAGAAACUGGGUCUAAUACCGGAUAGGACAAUCGUGUAGGGUCGGGUGUGGAAAGUUUUUUCGGUUUUGGAUGAGCCCGCGGCCUAUCAGCUUGUUGGUGGGGUAAUGGCCUACCAAGGCGUCGACGGGUAGCCGGCCUGAGAGGGUGGACGGCCAAAUUGGGCCUGAGAACCGGCCAAGCAUCCUCCGGAAGGAAGAGGUGGGAAAUAUUGACCAAUGGGGGAAGGCCUGUUGAAGCGCCGCCGCGUGGGGGAUGCCGGCCUUCGGGUUGUAACCCUCUUUCGCCAGGGCCGAAGCUUUGGUGACGGUACCUGUAUAAGAAGCACCGGCUAACUACGUG